AACGCACGAGACCUGCGGACCUGCGGAGGGAUCAUUGCCGAGUUGAAAGACUCCAAACCAUCGCGAACAUACCACUACGUUGCCUCGGCGGGCGGCUCCAGGGCGGAGCCUCCCGGCCCCCCUUAGGGGGGUGCCCGCCGCAGGACCCCCUAAACGCACUGUCGCAUCUAGUUAUCUCUGAGUACCCUGCGCAACGCAGUCACAACUUUUAACAACGGAUCUCUAGAUCGGAAGAGCACA
Molecule: unclassified non-coding RNA, 240 nt
Filed under: soil metagenome
Description: partial contains 5.8S ribosomal RNA, internal transcribed spacer 2, and large subunit ribosomal RNA
Source: RNAcentral